RNAcentral lists this transfer RNA (77 nucleotides) under Isorropodon fossajaponicum endosymbiont JTNG4. RNAcentral's name for it is "tRNA-Arg". It matches the Rfam family "tRNA". From Rfam's summary of the family: Transfer RNA (tRNA) molecules are approximately 80 nucleotides in length. Their secondary structure includes four short double-helical elements and three loops (D, anti-codon, and T loops). Further hydrogen bonds mediate the characteristic L-shaped molecular structure. tRNAs have two regions of fundamental functional importance: the anti-codon, which is responsible for specific mRNA codon recognition, and the 3' end, to which the tRNAs corresponding amino acid is attached (by aminoacyl-tRNA synthetases). tRNAs cope with the degeneracy of the genetic code in two manners: having more than one tRNA (with a specific anti-codon) for a particular amino acid; and 'wobble' base-pairing, i.e. permitting non-standard base-pairing at the 3rd anti-codon position. The record is from RNAcentral. Lineage: Bacteria; Pseudomonadati; Pseudomonadota; Gammaproteobacteria.
GCGCUCGUAGCUCAGUUGGAUAGAGUGUUAGCCUCCGAAGCUAAAUGUCGGGUGUUCGAGUCACCUCGAGCGCACCA